ACUCAAAUGAAUAGACGGGGACCCGCACAAGCGGUGGAGCGUGUUGUUUAAUACGACGAUAAGCGUAGAACCUCACCAAGGUUUGACAUCUCGGGAAGGACUCCGAAAGGAGACUGUGCCUUCGGGAACCCGAUGACAGGUGUUGCAUGGCCGUCGUCAGCUCGUGUCGUGAGAUGUAGGGUUAAGUCCCUCAACGAGCGCAACCCUUAUGGUUAGUUGAAUUUUUCUAGCCAGACUGCCCCGGUAACGGGGAGGAAGGAGGGGAUGAUGUCAGGUCAGUAUUGCCCUUACACCUUGGGCUACAAACACGCUACAAUGGCCGGUACAGAGGGCUGCCAAGUCGCGAGACGGAGCAAAUCUCAUCAAAGCCGGUCCCAGUUCGGAUAGCAGGCUGAAACUCGCCUGCUUGAAGCCGGAAUCGCUAGUAAUGGCAGGUCAGCACACUGCCGUGAAUACGUUCCCGGGUCUUGUACACACCGCCCGU
This 484-nucleotide ribosomal RNA is filed under the name uncultured bacterium. Its description in RNAcentral is "partial 16S ribosomal RNA". It matches the Rfam family "Bacterial small subunit ribosomal RNA", at positions 899 to 1397 of the family's 1533-position model. The record is from RNAcentral.